Molecule: ribosomal RNA, 57 nt
Filed under: Chlorella variabilis
Lineage: Eukaryota; Viridiplantae; Chlorophyta; Trebouxiophyceae; Chlorellales; Chlorellaceae
Description: partial 18S ribosomal RNA
Source: RNAcentral
UUAUUGCAAUUAUUAAUCUUCAACGAGGAAUGCCUAGUAAGCGCAAGUCAUCAGCUU